GACGAACGCUGGCGGCGUGCUUAACACAUGCAAGUCGAACGGAAAGGCCCUGCUUUUGUGGGGUGCUCGAGUGGCGAACGGGCGAGUAACACGUGAGUAACCUGCCCUUGACUUUGGGAUAACUUCAGGAAACUGGGGCUAAUAUCGGAUAGGAGCCCCUGCUGCAUGGUGGGGGGUGGAAAGUUUCGGCGGGUGGGGAUGGACUCGCGGGUUAUCAGCUUGUUGGUGGGGUAGUGGCUUACCAAGGCUUUGACGGGUAGCCCGCCCGAGAGGGUGACAGGCCACAUUGGGACUGAGGGACGGCCCAGACUCCUACGGUAGGCAGCAGUGGGGAAUAUUGAACAAUGGGCGGAAGCCUGAUGAAGCAACGCCGCGUGCGGGAUGACGGCCUUCGGGUUGUAAACCGCUUUCGCCUGUGACGAAGCGUGAGUGACGGUAAUGGGUAAAGAAGCACCGGCUAACUACGUG
This 468-nucleotide ribosomal RNA is filed under the name uncultured bacterium. Its description in RNAcentral is "partial 16S ribosomal RNA". It matches the Rfam family "Bacterial small subunit ribosomal RNA", at positions 28 to 507 of the family's 1533-position model. The record is from RNAcentral.